RNAcentral lists this ribosomal RNA (253 nucleotides) under uncultured bacterium. Its description in RNAcentral is "partial 16S ribosomal RNA". It matches the Rfam family "Bacterial small subunit ribosomal RNA", at positions 524 to 776 of the family's 1533-position model. The record is from RNAcentral.
UACGUAGGGGGCAAGCGUUAUCCGGAUUUACUGGGUGUAAAGGGAGCGUAGACGGCCAGACAAGUCUGAAGUGAAAAUCCAGCGCUUAACGUUGGAAGUGCUUUGGAAACUGCCGGGCUAGAGUGCAGGAGGGGCAGGCGGAAUUCCUAGUGUAGCGGUGAAAUGCGUAGAUAUUAGGAGGAACACCAGUGGCGAAGGCGGCUUUCUGGACUGAAACUGACGCUGAGGCACGAAAGCGUGGGGAGCGAACAGG